ACUUACAAUGUUCCUCAAUUACCUUAUGAUCCGUUAGUCAAUGUUCAGCUCUUACCGAGUUCAUAAAUCAUCUGAGCCAAUCUCCCCAACCCGCAGACCGCCCCCCAAGUCCUCUUUAGCCCUCUCUGGAAAUCAGUCAGCAUUUACGUACACAUCACAUUUAAGUAUACACUGCUGAACCCUACAGGCAGAAAUUCAUUUCUUUCACAAAUAUUUACAGAAUUCCUACCACGUGCAUGGCACUAGAAUGAAUGCUAGGGAUAGAAGCCCAAACUCCAUUUCCGUAAGGACUAGAAUCUCAUUCCUGCCCUCCAAGAGCUUACAAUGUAACACUGUGCUAAGAGGCUCUGAACCUACAUAUGUAACUUUUAAUUAUACCAUGCUGACUUAAUAGCAUGGCAGGUGAUCACCCUAGAUGUUAAUACAAACUUUACAUUCCUGUUGACACACUAAAAGAUCUAUCAUCUAAAAACCAAAACAGGCCAGAAUUAAAAUCUGGCUACAGACUAAAACUUCAGGAAUGAAGUUCUGUCUAAACCAUUUUCAGACUUCCAGCAUUUUUUUACUACUCACUUUUUUUCUCAGUUAUUUUAGCCAAGAGCAAAUGAGCGUUAGGCAUAACCUUAAGAGCUAGAGAAGAGCAUGUUUGUAAUUAUAAAAGGCUCAUUAUGCUCCUCUGCAUCCCCAGAUCCCCAUUCAAAGAAAGGGCUGUACAACUAACUCCGGACAACAGAUAUAAUUGGCUUGCCUUUCUUCAUUAAUAUUAAAUUUGUGGGAGACAGUCUUGGCGUUUUCACUGCAGUGAACUCGUGAAGUUGAACAAUCUCCAAAGAGAUGAAACUUUAAAAAGCCUAUUCGAAGUUAAAGUCAAAUCACACCAGGCAAUUUAACUUUGCCUCGGAUUUUCCACAACCUUACAAAAAUUACAAAGUUCUUCUAAGUUCCUCCAUCAAAAGGCCAAAUUCCUGGUUUUUUCUUUCAACAAAAUGGAUGCGUCACAAUCUUAUUUACAUCUUGCCGUUUUAACCAAGACCUCCUUGAAUCCCAAGCCUAGGUCUACACUUCCAGGCCCCUGAGAAGACCUAAGAACGAUCAAGAAGGGAUGCGCGGGUAAGCGUUGUCAUCACAACAUUAAAGAUUUCGAAACUCCCAGACCACCAGAAAGCGUAGAGUAUGGGGAAGAAAACCAAACCCAGCAACUCUAAGAGGCAAACUAGACCGGGAGGAAACAAUCGGCCCCCAGGACAAAAAGCACAUUCACACCUCUCCGUGCAACCCACUCAUCCCUUUAUACUCGCAGCGCUGCAGCCAAAGCACAAAGUUCUUUCUUUUCACCCAGAGUCUGUGCCUGUCGCGGUUAAACAUGAACGGAGGAAAAUUCCUAGUCAGAACCCAGAGGGGUAGGACGGGGCUUGGAGUGUGGGGACAACGCCAAGCAGGGAGCUGUCCAGGGGCACUGCCCGCCCGGGGUCUCCAGCUGUGAAGUUGCGCUCCUCGGGAGAUUCCUGGGGUCAGAACGAGAGGCUGGAGUCGGAGCGAGGCACAAGGGAUGCGGGAGAAGAAAGGAGUGGGGCCGAAGAGGUAGCCAAAGAGAAUGGGGCUCCGAGGCGAGAGAGAAAGGACUGGAAGGGGCAAAGGGCGGCCAAGGAGGGCGAAAAGGGGAAGCUGCCGCUGGGCGGGAGACGGCGGAGGAGCGAGACGGGGCGGGGGACCGCGGGAGGACGGGAAGGCGGGAAGGGGAGAGAGCGUGGAGCUCGGAGCUCCAGCAGGCACAGGCCGCGGCAGAUAAGGGGGCGCGGAGAGGCCCAGGCCCGGCCCAGGCAGGAGGCGUCGGGAGACGACGCGACCCAAGGCGGGCGGGCCCGGGGAAAACCGCCCGCGGCCAGACCGGCAGUGGAAGCUGAGACGCAGUGCUGCGGCCCCUCCCCGUCACGUCAGGGCACUUACCUCCUCGCAGCUGGGACGCUCCGGUGAUGCGGGGCAGUCAGUUCAGAGCGUCUCUCCCAAAUCUCGGCACCCGACUGACCCGGAUCCAAACCAGCCAAGGGGGCGGCCCGCGCCUCGGGAGUCGCGUUGCGCCUGCGCACUCCGGCAUGCACCCCUCCCCCUGCUUAUGCUCCUCCCACCCCAGUGACUCGGCAGCGCGGCAGCCGACGACUGCGCAGACGCAGGGCGGCGGCCGCGCCUCUCCAACGCCCCGCACCCGCCCCCCUCAGAAGCACGUGCGCCUUACGUAAUUUCCUGUUAUUCUUCGGUUUGCCUCCUCCCAGUGGCGUGGAUUUGCUCCCGACCCGCUUUUGGGGCGUGCCUGCUUCCUCCUCUCUGUUAGGUGAGUGAGUAGGCGUCAUUCUUCACAGUAGUCCUCUGCCUCCACCGCCCCGGGAUCUCCUUGCGCUCGGUCCUCUACGUGGAGUCACCUAUGCAGAGGAAUUCCACGGGGCGGGGGCGAGGACAGGGUGCGGGGGUCUUUAUGGCAGACAAUCCCCGGCUGAGCGCUUGGCCAGAGUUUCUGUGAUGCUAGAAUCUGGACUGCCUGCGACCUCUCCGGGACUCGGACACCAGCCCUCGCCUCCUGGUGAUCUUUUAGGUCCUGCAGAGAAGUGAAGAGAUCUCGCUCUGUCACCCAGGCUGGAGUGAAAUGGCACAAUCUUGGCUCACUGUAACCUCCGCCCCCAGGUUCGACUGAUUCUCGUGCCUCAGCCUCCUCAGUAGCUGGGAUUACAGAUGAGCCCCAGAGAGGCGAAGCCACUUGAGCUCGUGAGUGACAGUCAGAUGUCAAGCCCUGCUCUUUCUAAAGCGUGCUGCCUUCAGAAAAGAAGAGCCAGAAGGAUGGAAAUUACUUCAGAAAGAUGAAUACCAGCUUUGAAGGAAUAAAAGCUGACGAGGAAUUGAAGGAGUUGAGGCACGAGCUUGAACAGGGUUGCAUGUUUGGCCCUUGAUUGUAAAUGCCCAUUGCUGCACCUGUUCCUGUUACUUGGGGAGUUGCAGCAGAAGGAACAGCGGCCUGGGACUCCAGAGAACUGGGUUCCCUCUCAUCCCUCCAGGGCCACCACUUCUUGUGGGCCCUUGGGCAAGUCACUGUACUUUCUGAGUCUCAGUUUCCCCAUUUGCAGAAUGGAAAUAACUACCCCGGUCUACCAACUUAGAAGAAUUGCUUUGAGGAUCUGAUAAGGUGGUGUGGAUGAUGCUGCCUUGGGGGCUUUACAGUCUGGAGCUCAAGGGACCCCUUAAGUUGGGCUUACUUAGUAACUCCAGGGGUGGGCAGAACAGGACUCCAAUGAGGGUUUUUUUCUUUUUCCCUUUUUUUUCUUUUCCUAUCUCUUAACUUUUAUCUUUAUUAUUUUACAAUGCCCUUGUAAGAUGAAACAAGUGAUGCUGAAAUAUCUUUUUCUUUUUUAACCUUUAUUUUAGAAUUGGGGUACAUGUGCAGGUUUGUUACAUAGGUACAGUGUGGGCUGCUGAGGUUUGGGAGUACGAAUGAAUUAGUCACCCCAGUGGUGAGCAUAGUGCCCGAUAAGUGGUUUUUUCAACCCUUACUCCCAUCCCUCUCCAUUCUUGUGUUCCCCAGUGUCUGCUGUUCCCAUUUUUAUGACCAUGUGUACUCAAUGUUUAGCUCCCACUUAGAAGUAAGAACAUGCCCAGCACUUUGGGAGGCCGAGGUGGGUGGAUCAUGAGGUCAAGAGAUCGAGACCAUCUUGGCUAACAAAGUGAAACCCUGUCUCUACUAAAAACAUAAAAAAUUGGCCGGGUGUGGUGGUGGGCACCUGUAGUCCUAGCUACUCGGGAGGCUGAGACAGGAGAAUCGCCUGAACCGGGGAGGUGGAGGUUGCAGUGAGCUGAGAUUGUACCACUGCACUCCAGCCUGGGUGACAGAGUGAGACUCCAUCUCAAAAAAAUAAAAAUAAAAAAAUAAAAAGAAUGUGGUGUAUGAUUUUGUUUUCUGUUUCUAUGUUAAUCCACUUAGGAUAAUGGCCUCCAGCUACAUCCACGUUGUUACAAAAGACACGAUUUCAUUCUCUUAUAUGGCUGCCUAAUAUUCCACGGUGUAUAUGUACCAUAUUUUCUUUAUCACAUCCACUGUUGAUCCACACCUGGGUUGAUUCCAUGUCUGUGCUAUUGUGAAUAGCACUGCAGUGAACAUGUGGGUGCGUGUGUCUUUGUGGUAGAACGAUUUCUUUUCCUUUGAGUAUAAUAUAUCCAUUAAUGGGAUGGGGCUGACAUACUUAAAGUAGAAACGAAAAUUGUCAUGUGCUCCCCCACGCCCCUCCAUUCUACUCUGCAGAGAGACAGCUGCCUGCUGUUUGUGGUUUAGUACACCUCCUUCCAGGCUUUAAAUAAACUA
This 4342-nucleotide long non-coding RNA is filed under the name Homo sapiens (human). RNAcentral's name for it is "HSALNT0267586". The record is from RNAcentral. Lineage: Eukaryota; Metazoa; Chordata; Mammalia; Primates; Hominidae.